UACGGAGGGGGCAAGCGUUAUUCGGAAUUAUUGGGCGUAAAGAGCUCGUAGGCGGUUUGUUGCGUCGGCUGUGAAAUCCCGAGGCUCAACCUCGGGUCUGCAGUCGAUACGAGCAAACUAGAGUGUUGCAGGGGAGACUGGAAUUCCUGGUGUAGCGGUGAAAUGCGCAGAUAUCAGGAGGAACACCGGUGGCGAAGGCGGGUCUCUGGGCAACAACUGACGCUGAGGAGCGAAAGCGUGGGGAGCGAACAGG
RNAcentral lists this ribosomal RNA (253 nucleotides) under uncultured bacterium. RNAcentral's name for it is "partial 16S ribosomal RNA". It matches the Rfam family "Bacterial small subunit ribosomal RNA", at positions 524 to 776 of the family's 1533-position model. The record is from RNAcentral.